AAAGCGGAUGCCGAAAAGCUCAUAGAGUAGGCU
RNAcentral lists this non-coding RNA (33 nucleotides) under unclassified sequences. RNAcentral describes it as "DUF805b RNA". It matches the Rfam family "DUF805b RNA". Rfam says of the family: Bacteroidetes, Chlorobi (1 example), Proteobacteria. Lineage (Flavobacteria) The record is from RNAcentral.